Molecule: long non-coding RNA, 279 nt
Organism: Triticum aestivum (bread wheat)
Lineage: Eukaryota; Viridiplantae; Streptophyta; Magnoliopsida; Poales; Poaceae
Exons: 4
Source: RefSeq, a predicted model, not a curated record
CAGCUGCGGGGCUGGAGGCGGCAUUCGGGGUUGGAGAUGGCAUGAGAAGCAGAGCUCCUUGUGCCACUCUCUCUACAAAGAAAGUGUAGUCUGCAAGCUUAUCAAAUCUGGGUACUGUUUGUAAAAGUGCAGCACCAUGCAUCACUACAUGGUGCUAUGAAAAUUCAAGCGGGCUGAAGUAAAGAUUACUCUAUGUAAAAUUCAUGCUUCAAUGCCUACUCGGAAAUAUAUCCGUGCUUGGUAGUUUGAGACUAUUGGUGUCAAGAUCUUGCUCCAAAU